Molecule: long non-coding RNA, 1664 nt
Filed under: Nasonia vitripennis (jewel wasp)
Lineage: Eukaryota; Metazoa; Arthropoda; Insecta; Hymenoptera; Pteromalidae
Description: uncharacterized LOC116416184
Source: RNAcentral
AGGACUAACGUUUUAUUAUAGUGCCUUAUCUGUUCUCUUUCUUCUACUUACGCAUCACGCUUGCACCGACAUGUUCAGUCCUCUUCUAUACCUAUAUGGCAUAUAAAAAAAGUAUACCUACAAAAGCCGCUGAAGAUCAACAACGGGGCACAUACAUACAUGGCUUGGAGCCCAUAACCCUAAAAGAACGAAAAAAGAUCGAGAGAGCGAGUUAGUCAGUCUCCUUAUUGGCAUCACCUUGACAGUUUACAAACGUGGAGAAUCGUUAAAAUAUACGUUCAGCUAGUGAUUGCGCAUCGUUAGCUUUUAAAAACUACGGAGAUGACCUCGAUUAGGGCAGAACUCAAAGUCAUAGGAAGCUACCGAUUUGGCCGACUCAGUACCAACAAUGACUUGGACGUUAUUUAUUGUCUGUAUCAAGUUGUAAUGUCAAAUCCGGACGAUAAAGUCAAAAUCUUUGAUAAAAUGCAGCGUCAGUCGUUCGUCGAGAUCACUCGCAAGCGGUGUCUCAACUCAAAAGGAGAGUUCGGAAAGCUCUUGCUCCCGUGGAUCGCCAUCGCCGGCAUGCUGUGCAGGUGGUCGACGAGAAGUAGACCAUUCUCCAUGUGCUGUUUCAAACUAAUCUUACCCCAAAGAACGAGCGAUUGAUCCGUCUAGUCUACUCCUCUCGCCAACAUGUUCUACACAUUGCGGUGGAAGUGUGGAACAGAAGCAAGUGCAGCUGAUCGAAUGGCUUCUCGAUAAAGGAGUCGAGGUCAACGUCGUUGACGAGCACGGAAGACGCCAGUGCUUUACGCGACCAACAGCAGAAAAGCCAACAAGCUACUGCCGGCCAGGGCGUAAAUGUCGACGAGCAACUGAAAAGUUUGGCGAAUCUCUGCUAUGUACUUCGCGGCUGUAAGUAAGUCUCGGCACUGGAGACUGCUGGAAACUUUGCUGAAACGCGGUGCGGGCGUUGAUCUGGGAGCGAUCGAUGUUGUAUCGCGCUGCACCAACGCCUGCGGGCACUUCAAUCCAAGCUGGAAUGAGAAGAACAUUGGCUACUUCUGUCCGUCGGCGUGAAUGUGCUUGCCGAGGACUGCAAAGGCAUAACGCCUUUCGUUUGCCUUCGUUACUACGACACGACUCCGGCCAUCAGCCUGAUGAUGCUCAAGGCGCUAGCGUAGGAAAAGGUGCGCCGACCGUCGAUCGAACUGAAGGACGAGAGGAUCAUAAAGGGGUACCCGCAGCUCUGGGAUUAUUAUUGAGACUGCUGAGCGCAUCCCUCUAGGAUGAAGUUCAUGAGAUUCAUCAAGAGUUGCACAUUUUUUUAUCCUCUCACGAAAUGCGAAAUACGAUCUAGGCGAUCACUCUAUACGCUGGAACUUUUGAUUGCGUUUUGUCUGAUCGAGUUGUGAGGAAGGUGAAUUGACUAGGCAUACGUUAAGAACACAAAAAUCGUCUUUUUAUCUGGCCCUAUAACUUACCUGCGAUUUCGUCUCAAGCGGUGUCUUGCUCCGCUAAUCGCACAAUAUGGAACAAUUACAACGUACAGUUUAAUAAAAGAGACCAUCCAGGUGCAUAUGAGACAUCAACAGAGCAAAAGUUUGCAGUAUCAUCCACUCUCUUCUGUAAGUAUACCUACCAGUUAAUUUAAUGCAGAAUACUGCGUGAAUGUUUACAAA